GACGAACGCUGGCGGCGUGCUUAACACAUGCAAGUCGAACGGAAAGGCCUUUUCGGAGGUACUCGAGUGGCGAACGGGUGAGUAACACGUGGGUGAUCUGCCCUGCACUCUGGGAUAAGCCUGGGAAACUGGGUCUAAUACCGGAUAGGACCGCACUUUAGUGUGUGUGGUGGAAAGGUUUUUCGGUGUAGGAUGAGCCCGCGGCCUAUCAGCUUGUUGGUGGGGUAAUGGCCUACCAAGGCGGCGACAGGUAGCCGGACUGAGAGGUUGGUCGGCCACAUUGGGACUGAGAUACGGCCCAGACUCCUACGGGAGGCAGCAGUGGGGAAUAUUGCACAAUGGGCGCAAGCCUGAUGCAGCGACGCCGCGUGGGGGAUGACGGCCUUCGGGUUGUAAACUCCUUUCGCCAGGGACGAAGCGUUUUGUGACGGUACCUGGAGAAGAAGCACCGGCUAACUACGUG
RNAcentral lists this ribosomal RNA (463 nucleotides) under uncultured bacterium. RNAcentral describes it as "bacterial SSU rRNA". It matches the Rfam family "Bacterial small subunit ribosomal RNA", at positions 28 to 507 of the family's 1533-position model. The record is from RNAcentral.